This 1206-nucleotide ribosomal RNA is filed under the name Crepidostomum sp. 1 VS-2018. Its description in RNAcentral is "LSU rRNA". It matches the Rfam family "Eukaryotic large subunit ribosomal RNA", at positions 111 to 919 of the family's 3401-position model. The record is from RNAcentral. Lineage: Eukaryota; Metazoa; Platyhelminthes; Trematoda; Plagiorchiida; Allocreadiidae.
AGCACCGAAGCCUGUGGUCAUUUGGCCAUUAGGCAAUGUGGUGUUUAGGUCGUUCCGCAGGGACACUGCUCCUCUCUAAGUCCAUCAAUGAGUACGGUUGUACUGACAUGGCCCAUGGAGGGUGAAAGGCCCGUGAGAGAGGAGUUUUGUUGUGACAGUGUCCCUCUGGAUUGACCUUGGAGUCGGGUUGUUUGGGAAUGCAGCCCUAAGCGGGUGGUAAACUCCAUCCAAGGCUAAAUACAAGCACGAGUCCGAUAGCGAACAAGUACCGUGAGGGAAAGUUGAAAAGUACUUUGAAGAGAGAGUAAACAGUGCGUGAAACCGCUUAGAGGUAAACGGGUGGAGUUGAACUGCAAUCUCUGAGAAUUCAGCUGGGGAAAUUUGCUUGAGCUUGGUCAUUUGGGCAGGGCCUCGAGGUAUGCUUAGCUGCAUGUCCUGAUCUCACGGUCGGGAUGCGCGUUGCUCUUAUCAAGGGUUGCGCGCCUCGGGUGUCCGGCUGGCUCGUUCGCCAGUGCACUUUCUCAGAGUGAUCAUCACGACCGGCGCUGCUGCUGGGCUGUUUUAGUUAAAUCGGACAUUCAUCGUCCUUGUGGCGUUGGGUGGUCGACACGGCAGGUAACUGAGUGCUCGCUUCGGCUUGCUUUCCGGUGUAUGCUGGCUCUAACGGUUCUGUGCGGUGUGUCGGAGACGGCGGCUUGUGGUGUGUGCAUGUGUGCCUAUCUGGUGGCAUAUUCUGGUUUGGUAGCUGUGUGCUUGUUCAAGCAGGCCCAGUUAUAGCUGGAGUGUGUCAUUGGGUGGUUGCGUGUGUGUCACUUUUCAGGGCCAACAGUCUGUGAUGUCGUGGUAGACUAUCCACCUGACCCGUCUUGAAACACGGACCAAGGAGAGUAACAUGUACGCGAGUCAUUGGGCGUAACGAAACCCACAGGCGCAGUGAAAGUAAAGGUCUGGCUUGUCCAGUCUAAGGUGAGAUCCUGUCGUUGCUCAUGCGCGGUACCCCCAAGCUUGGAGCGAUAGGCGCAUCACCGGCCCGUCCCAUGACGUGGUCACAGUCCUCGGAUUGUGCGCCGUCGGGGCGGGGCAUGAGCGUACAUGUUGAGACCCGAAAGAUGGUGAACUAUGCUUGCGCAGGUUGAAGCCAGAGGAAACUCUGGUGGAGGACCGCAGCGAUUCUGACGUGCAAAUCGAUCGUCAAACGUGAGUAUA